RNAcentral lists this ribosomal RNA (253 nucleotides) under uncultured bacterium. RNAcentral's name for it is "partial 16S ribosomal RNA". It matches the Rfam family "Bacterial small subunit ribosomal RNA", at positions 524 to 776 of the family's 1533-position model. The record is from RNAcentral.
GACGAACCGUCCGAACGUUAUUCGGAAUCACUGGGCUUAAAGGGUGCGUAGGCGGCGCGGAAAGUUGGGUGUGAAAUCCCUCGGCUCAACCGGGGAACUGCGCCCAAAACUACCGUGCUCGAGGGAGAUAGAGGUGAGCGGAACUUAGGGUGGAGCGGUGAAAUGCGUUGAUAUCCUAAGGAACACCGGUGGCGAAAGCGGCUCACUGGAUCUCUUCUGACGCUGAGGCACGAAAGCUAGGGUAGCGAACGGG